This 418-nucleotide ribosomal RNA is filed under the name uncultured beta proteobacterium. Its description in RNAcentral is "bacterial SSU rRNA". It matches the Rfam family "Bacterial small subunit ribosomal RNA", at positions 9 to 429 of the family's 1533-position model. The record is from RNAcentral. Lineage: Bacteria; Pseudomonadati; Pseudomonadota; Betaproteobacteria.
GAGUUUGAUCGUGGCUCAGAUUGAACGCUGGCGGCAUGCUUUACACAUGCAAGUCGAACGGUAACGCGGGGGGCAACCCUGGCGACGAGUGGCGAACGGGUGAGUAAUACAUCGGAACAUGUCCUGGAGUGGGGGAUAGCUCGGCGAAAGCCGGAUUAAUACCGCAUACGCUCUGAGGAGGAAAGCGGGGGACCUUCGGGCCUCGCGCUGCAGGAGUGGCCGAUGUCGGAUUAGCUAGUUGGUGAGGUAAAGGCUCACCAAGGCGACGAUCCGUAGCUGGUCUGAGAGGAUGAUCAGCCACACUGGGACUGAGACACGGCCCAGACUCCUACGGGAGGCAGCAGUGGGGAAUUUUGGACAAUGGGGGCAACCCUGAUCCAGCCAUGCCGCGUGUGUGAAGAAGGCCUUCGGUUGUAAG